GGGAUCGCGAGCGGACUGGGUCCUUUCGCAGAGCUACUCGAGGCCCAAGCGAGCGGGUCAUUCGGUAGAGUUUGGGAGUCUUUCCUGCACUCGUUUUGCUGCUGGGGACACAACCCAGGACUUCUUGCAUAUAAGGCUACACAUUUUGAGAUGAGGAAGGUGGAUCUCUGCUCGAGCACUGAAGGGACAGAAGUGAUUCUGGCCACGUCGAGUGAUGAAAAGCACCCGCCUGAAAACAUCAUUGACGGGAAUCCAGAAACCUUUUGGACCACCACAGGCAUGUUUCCCCAGGAGUUCAUUAUUUGUUUCCACAAACACGUAAAGAUUGA
Molecule: long non-coding RNA, 329 nt
Filed under: Rattus norvegicus (Norway rat)
Lineage: Eukaryota; Metazoa; Chordata; Mammalia; Rodentia; Muridae
Description: long non-coding RNA NONRATT022451
Source: RNAcentral